GAUGAACGCUAGCUACAGGCUUAACAUAUGCAAGUCGAGGGGUAACGAGAGGAAAGCUUGCUUUCCUUGUCGACGACCGGCGCACGGGUGAGUAACGCGUAUCCAACCUGCCCCCAACUAGGGAAUAACCUUGCGAAAGUAAGACUAAUACCCUAUAAUUUCCUCAGAUGUCAUCUGACGAGGAAUAAAGAUUUAUCGGUUGUGGAUGGGGAUGCGUCUGAUUAGCUUGUUGGCGGGGUAACGGCCCACCAAGGCAACGAUCAGUAGGGGUUCUGAGAGGAAGGUCCCCCACAUUGGAACUGAGACACGGUCCAAACUCCUACGGGAGGCAGCAGUAAGGAAUAUUGGUCAAUGGGCGGAAGCUUGAACCAGCCAAGUAGCGUGCAGGAUGACGGCCCUAUGGGUUGUAAACUGCUUUUAUACAGGAAUAAAGUUAGCCACGUGUGGUUAUUUGUAGGUACUGUAUGAAUAAGGACCGGCUAAUUCCGUGCCAGCCGCCGCGGUAA
This 506-nucleotide ribosomal RNA is filed under the name uncultured bacterium. Its description in RNAcentral is "partial 16S ribosomal RNA". It matches the Rfam family "Bacterial small subunit ribosomal RNA", at positions 28 to 523 of the family's 1533-position model. The record is from RNAcentral.